Molecule: long non-coding RNA, 566 nt
Organism: Corylus avellana
Lineage: Eukaryota; Viridiplantae; Streptophyta; Magnoliopsida; Fagales; Betulaceae
Source: RefSeq, a predicted model, not a curated record
UCCACAGCUUUCUUGAACUGUGUUUGGGGAGCUUCUUCAGAGGAAAGUGAUGAUCCCAUGCAAAAAAAAUGACACACACAAUUCAAGAAAGCUGUGGAAAAUUGCUGAUAGGAUCUGUAGUUAAUUAAUUACUCUAUAUAUUUAUAUGUAUAAUAUUAAUUAAUCUUUUGUCCCUUUGAACCACUGAUCUGCCUAUAUAUGGUUAUUGGUUUUCUCAAAAUUUUCAUGGCUUCAAGAUAUCUGCAGAAAUGAUUGAGAACCUCCAUCUCGAUCAGGAAAUCCACAAGAAAAUAGUUUUUUUAAUGAUCUGCUCACAGAGAUCAUAGCGUGCCCACUGGGAAAAUCAGGCAUUGGUUAAAUCAUCACAAACAUGAACUGGCCGGCCGUGAUACACAAAGUGGAUUAUGGUACUUUAGUUUGGUGAAGGAAAUAAUGGAGACUGCAUUGCCCAAAGAGGGGUCAGCGUACGUGGCCAUUGUCACUCAAUGUCUACAAGUAGUAGCCAGCAUGUUGCGUACGUCAACAUUUGGCCAUGUAAUUUAACCUCUUUUUGGUACAUAUAAUUG